This 253-nucleotide ribosomal RNA is filed under the name uncultured bacterium. RNAcentral describes it as "partial 16S ribosomal RNA". It matches the Rfam family "Bacterial small subunit ribosomal RNA", at positions 524 to 776 of the family's 1533-position model. The record is from RNAcentral.
UACAGAGGUCUCAAGCGUUGUUCGGAAUCACUGGGCGUAAAGGGUGCGUAGGCGGCGCAAAAAGUCAGAUGUGAAAUCCGGAGGCUCAACCUCCGAAUUGCAUCCGAAACUCUUGUGCUGGAGAAUUGUAGAGGAGCUUGGAACUCUCGGUGUAGCAGUGAAAUGCGUAGAUAUCGAGAAGAACGCUCGCAGCGAAAGCGAGGCUCUGGGCAAUUUCUGACGCUGAUGCACGAAGGCUAGGGGAGCAAACGGG